This is a long non-coding RNA of Syngnathus typhle (broad-nosed pipefish), 1074 nucleotides long. RefSeq lists it as uncharacterized. Lineage: Eukaryota; Metazoa; Chordata; Actinopteri; Syngnathiformes; Syngnathidae. The record is from RefSeq and is a predicted model, not a curated record. The transcript has 2 exons.
UUCUGUCAUAUAGUUUGAGUUUCAUACAAAUUUGUGUUGUACCUUUGAUCAAGUUUGACUGUGAUCGUAAAUUAUUUAAAAUAAUUUAUAUGGGGCCGGUAGCAAAGCCCACUUUGCCCAUUAACUUGGUAGCCAAACGGAACCGAGGGACGCCCCUUCCUGACUACUACGGUGCCGGACUGCGCCUUCCGUGCUUGCACUACCCUGUUGAUAUUAUUCGGAGCAGUUUUGUCAAUGGAGAUUUCAUUUGAAGGCAAGGCUCUGGUCACCGGGGCAGGAAAAGGUAAACACAAUAGCAAAAAGACCAUUAUUAUUAUUAUUAUUAUUAUUUUAUUUUGUGCUAUAUACUGACUGUCCGCUGUAUGCACAAUUGCUCCAUUUCGACCAUGUUGUGUUUGUUUGUUUGUUUAUUUAUUUAUUUAUUAAUUUAUUCAUUCAUAAUUGCAAUAUAGUAAUAUUUAAUGAGAAUAAUAAUGAGAUGGCAGUGCCCCCAUUCACUUGUAUGUAACCCAGCCUAAAAUGAACAUGUCCAUUUCCAUUUCAUCAUUGCUCUCUCUUUAAUGACAAUAUCAUUUUAGUUCAGUUACAAUAUGGUUAUUAGAACUUAAACAUAUGAGUAUUUAAUUGUACAUUUAAAAUAUCAUCACAUAAGCAGAAUUAAAUGAAUACGUACGUCGUACAAUAUUAAACACAGGCUUUUGACUCUAGUUUCUGAAGCGGUUUAUGUAAUGACGCCAAGCUACCGCAAGAUGGCAGUGCCUCCAUUCACUUGUAUGUAACCCAGCGUAAAAUGAACAUGUCAAUUUUUCCGUGACAACGUCCUCUAUGUACAAUACACUACGAAAGAAAAACCAGCGGGAUUUCCCCGCCAAAGUGGCAGAAUGGUUUAUAACUUUACCCGGUGUUCGGGAGACUAUGGUUCGAGCCCCACACGAACCAGUCUUUGACUACAGUUGAAUCUGUGUAAGAUUCGAAUCAUGUUCUCCCGCACACAAGGCAAAGGCUUUUCCUACUACACCAUUGAGUAUUACAGCAAUGGUAAUUUAGGUUUGAAUAAGUUGCAAUUCUUCAGUA